RNAcentral lists this long non-coding RNA (3668 nucleotides) under Brassica rapa (field mustard). Its description in RNAcentral is "long non-coding RNA (BRAP_LNC000794)". The record is from RNAcentral. Lineage: Eukaryota; Viridiplantae; Streptophyta; Magnoliopsida; Brassicales; Brassicaceae.
UUUCUAUUUGCGUAAUAUCUAUAUUUUAUAUUUGAAGAUAGAUGUUUAAAUCUUAAUAUACUUUUUCCAUUGUUUUUAAGUUGUGUAUUUUUUUUUCUUAUACUUUCUAUUUACUUAAUAUCUAUAUUUUACAUUUUAAGAUUGAUGUUUAAUAUUUAAUGUACUCUUUCCAUUUUUUAAAAAUUGUGCAUGUACUUAUUAUUGUAUAUAUAAUUCGUAUAUUUAUAUAUUUAUAAAAUUUACUUAUUAUUUAUUUUUCUAUAUAUUGAGUAUUUUAUUUUUCUUAUACUUUAUAUUUAGUUAAUAUCUAUAUUUUAUAUUUUAAGAUAGAUGUUUAAAUCUUAAUGUAUUUUUACAUUUUUAAUGUAAAACGGCAAUGUUUAAUAGAAGAAGUUGGACAAAUAGUCAAAUAGUUAUAUUUAUGUUUUUUUUCUUUUUUUAUAAAAUGGUAAUGUUACAUUAUGGAGAUAAGCCGCUUUUUUUUAGUGAAAAAUGAAAAUCUUACAUAUGUUUAAUGUAGUUUUUCUAUUUUUUUAUGUUGUAUGUUUACAUAUUAUUGUUAUUUUUAAAUGUAAAAUGGUAAUAUUACAUAUUUUUAAUGUAGUAUUUUCAUUUUUUUAUGUUGUAUGUUUAUAUAUUAUUUAUUCUUUUCGAAAUUAUAUAUAAUGUUUUUUUUUACAAAAUAUUAAUUUUACAUUAUGGAGAUAAACCGUCUCUUUUUAGUUAAAAAUGGUAAUCUUACAUAUGUUUAAUGUAGUUUUUCUAUUUUUUUAUGUUGUAUGCUUACAUAUUAUUAUUUUUUAAAUUAAAAAUGUAAAAUGGUAAUCUUACAUAUGUUUAAUGUAGUAUUUCCAUUUUUUAUGUUGUAUGUUUACAUAUAUUUAUUAGAGUAUUUGUACUCUCUACACAUAACUUACCCCCUAUUUGCACUCCAUACCCUAUUUCCCUUCAAUUUUUUCCCCCCAUCACUACCAUUUUCCCCCAACUCAAUGGUAUCUCACUCUUUUGAGUAUAUUGAGCUAAUUUGCUCUAUUUAUUAUUUUCAAAAUUAUAUAUAAUGUUUUUUUUUUUUUAUAAAAUGGUAAUGUUACAUUAUGGAGAUAAGCCGUCUUUUUUUCAAGUGAAAAAUGGUAAUCUUACAUAUGUUUAAUGUAGUUUUUCUAUUUUUUAUGAUGUAUGUUUACAUAUUAUUUAUAAUUUGCAAAAUUAGUAAUAUUAAAGUGUAAAACUAUAUUUUAUGCCACGUGUCAUCUUUUGAGAGAAGUUUUUUUUGCUGAUGUGGACGCUCUAUGGAGCCUCAAAAGGUUCCUUUUAUUAGUAAGGAUUUUUAUGUUGUAUGUUUACAUAUUAUUUUUUUUUAAAUUAAAAAUGUAAAAUGGUAAUCUUACAUAUGUUUAAUGUAGUAUUUCCAUUUUUUAUGUUGUAUGUUUACAUAUAUUUAUUAUUUUCGAAAUUAUAUAUAAUGUUUUUUUUUUAUAAAAUGGUAAUGUUACAUUAUCGAGAUAAGCCAUCUUUUUUCAAGUGAAAAAUGGUAAUCUUACUUAUGUUUAAUAUAGUUUUUCUAUUUUUUAUGAUGUAUGUUUACAUAUUAUUUAUAAUUUGCGAAAAUUAGUAAUAUUAAAGUGUAAAAUUAUAUUUUAUGCCACGUGUCAUCUUUUGAGAGAAGUUUUUUUUUGCUGAUGUGGACGCUCUAUGGAGCCUCAAAAGGUUCCUUUUAUUUGUAAGGAUUAUGGAGAUAAGCCGUCUUUUUUUCAAGUGAAAAAUGGUAAUCUUACAUAUGUUUAACGUAGUUUUUCUAUUUUUAUGCUGUAUGUUUACAUAUUUUUUAUAAUUUGCGAAAAUUAGUAAUAUUAAAGUAUAAAACUAUAUUUUAUGCCACAUGUCAUCUUUCGGGAGAAGUUUUUUUUGCUGAUGUGGACGCUCUAUGGAGCCUCAAAAGGUCCAUUUUAUUAGUAAGGAUUUAUUUAUUAUUUAUUUUCUAUAUAUUGAGUAUUUUCUCUUUCUUAUACUUUAUAUUUAGUUAAUAUCUAUAUUUUAUAUUUUAAGAUAGAUGUUUAAAUCUUAAUGUAUUUUUACAUUUUUAAUGUAAAACGGCAAUGUUUAAUAGAAGAACUUGGACAAAUAGUCAAAUAGUUAUAUUUAUGUUUUUUUUCUUUUUUUAUAAAAUGGUAAUGUUACAUUAUGGAGAUAACCCGCUUUUUUAGUGAAAAAUGGAAAUCUUACAUAUGUUUAAUGUAGUUUUUCCAUUUUUUUUUAUGUUGUAUGUUUACAUAUUAUUGUUAUUUUUAAAUGUAAAAUGGUAAUAUUACAUAUGUUUAAUGUAGUAGUUCCAUUUUUUUAUGUUUUAUGUUUAUAUAUUAUUUAUUAUUUUCAAAAUUAUAUAUAGUGUUUUUUUUACAAAAUAGUAAUUUUACAUUAUGGAGAUAAACCGUCUUUUUUUAGUGAAAAAUGGUAAUCUUACAUAUGUUUAAUGUAGUUUUUCUAUUUUUUAUGUUGUAUGUUUACAUAUUUUUUUUUUAAAUUAAAAAUGUAAAAUGGUAAUCUUACAUAUGUUUAAUGUAGUAUUUCCAUUUUUUAUGUUGUAUGUUUACAUAUAUUUAUUAUUUUCGAAAUUAUAUAUAAUGUUUUUUGUUUUUUUUUUUAUAAAAUGGUAAUGUUACAUUAUGGAGAUAAGCCGUCUUUUUUUCAAGUGAAAAAUGGUAAUCUUACAUAUGUUUAAUGUAGUUUUUCUAUUUUUAUGAUGUAUGUUUACAUAUUAUUUAUAAUUUACGAAAAUUAGUAAUAUUAAAGUAUAAAACUAUCUUUUAUGCUACGUGUCAUCUUUUGGGAGAAGUUUUUUUUGCUGAUGUGGACGUUCUAUGGAGCCUCAAAAGGUCUCUUUUAUUAGUAAGGAUUAUGGAGAUAAACCGUCUUUUUUUAGUGAAAAAUGGUAAUCUUACAUAUGUUUAAUGUAGUUUUUCUAUUUUUUAUGUUGUAUGUUUACAUAUUAUUUUUUUAAAAAUUAAAAAUGUAAAAUGGUAAUCUUACAUAUGUUUAAUGUAGUAUUUCCAUUUUUUAUGUUGUAUGUUUACAUAUAUUUAUUAUUUUCGAAAUUAUAUAUAAUGUUUUUUGUUUUUUUUAUAAAAUGGUAAUGUUACAUUAUGGAGAUAAGCCGUCUUUUUUCAAGUGAAAAAUGGUAAUCUUACAUAUGUUUAAUGUAGUUUUUCUAUUUUUAUGCUGUAUGUUUACAUAUUAUUUAUAAUUUACGAAAAUUAGUAAUAUUAAAGUAUAAAACUAUCUUUUAUGCUACGUGUCAUCUUUUGGGAGAAGUAUAUAAUUAACCCGGGCUACGCCCGGGAUUUUUAUUUUUUUCUAAUUUAAGUUGUUAAAUUAUUUAUAUUUAGGUUAUGAUAUAUAAUUUUUAUAAAUAUUAAGAUGCAUGUCAUAAUUAAAAUUUAUUUUAAAUUUUAACACGUUCAAUUAACAUAUUUUUACUAUUUAAAUAUUUAUUUGUAAUUUUGUUGGCUAUCUAAUUAUCAUAUUUAGCAAAAUUAUCUGUUGAGUGUUGGAAUAAAUGUUUUAGAUAUUUAAUUAAACUGCAGAGUAUUUUCGGAUCGAUCACAUGCUCAACAAUCGAUCGAUCCGUAAAAAGAUGGUCGAUCUCCUUGGCCAGGUAAGUACAAUUUUAG